Molecule: transfer RNA, 67 nt
Filed under: Colletes gigas
Lineage: Eukaryota; Metazoa; Arthropoda; Insecta; Hymenoptera; Colletidae
Description: tRNA-Met
Source: RNAcentral
AUAUAAAUAAACUAAUUAAAGUUAUUAGGUUCAUACCCUAAAAAUAGAUUUAAAUAUCUUUUAUAUA